RNAcentral lists this ribosomal RNA (253 nucleotides) under uncultured bacterium. Its description in RNAcentral is "partial 16S ribosomal RNA". It matches the Rfam family "Bacterial small subunit ribosomal RNA", at positions 524 to 776 of the family's 1533-position model. The record is from RNAcentral.
UACGAAGGGUGCAAGCGUUAAUCGGAAUUACUGGGCGUAAAGCGUGCGUAGGCGGCUUUUUAAGUCGGAUGUGAAAUCCCCGGGCUCAACCUGGGAAUGGCAUCCGAUACUGGGGAGCUGGAGUUUGGGAGAGGGUGGUGGAAUUCCCGGUGUAGCGGUGGAAUGCGUAGAGAUCGGGAGGAACAUCAGUGGCGAAGGCGGCCACCUGGCCUAAAACUGACGCUGAGGCACGAAAGCGUGGGGAGCAAACAGG